GAUGAACGCUGGCGGCGUGCCUAAUACAUGCAAGUCGAGCGAACAGACGAGGAGCUUGCUCCUCUGACGUUAGCGGCGGACGGGUGAGUAACACGUGGAUAACCUACCUAUAAGACUGGGAUAACUUCGGGAAACCGGAGCUAAUACCGGAUAAUAUAUUGAACCGCAUGGUUCAAUAGUGAAAGACGGUUUUGCUGUCACUUAUAGAUGGAUCCGCGCCGCAUUAGCUAGUUGGUAAGGUAACGGCUUACCAAGGCUACGAUGCGUAGCCGACCUGAGAGGGUGAUCGGCCACACUGGAACUGAGACACGGUCCAGACUCCUACGGGAGGCAGCAGUAGGGAAUCUUCCGCAAUGGGCGAAAGCCUGACGGAGCAACGCCGUGUGAGUGAUGAAGGUCUUCGGAUCGUAAAACUCUGUUAUUAGGGAAGAACAAAUGUGUAAGUAACUAUGCACGUCUUGACGGUACCUAAUCAGAAAGCCACGGCUAACUACGUG
This 497-nucleotide ribosomal RNA is filed under the name uncultured bacterium. RNAcentral's name for it is "partial 16S ribosomal RNA". It matches the Rfam family "Bacterial small subunit ribosomal RNA", at positions 28 to 507 of the family's 1533-position model. The record is from RNAcentral.